CUCGUGCGGGUCAAGCAUGCAGAUCCAUUUUCUGCCACCGAAUACAUUAGCAUGGGAUAAUGGAAUAGGACCCUGUCCUCCUAUUUUCAGUUGGUUUUGGCAGCGCGAGGACUAGGGUAAUGAUUAAUAGGGAUAGUUGGGGGCAUUAAUAUUUAAUUGUCAGAGGUGAAAUUCUUGGAUUUAUGAAAGAUUAACUUCUGCGAAAGCAUCUGCCAAGGAUGUUUUCAUUAAUCAAGAACGAAAGUUAGGGGAUCGAAGACGAUCAGAUACCGUCGUAGUCUUAACCAUAAACGAUGCCGACCAGCGAUUAGGAGACGUUGAAUACAAAACACCACCAUCGGUUGCGGUCGUCCUUGGCGUCUCGGUUUCGGCCGGGGCGCGGGGACGGUUUAGCCCGGUGGCACCGGUGAAUGACUCCCUAGCAGCUUGUGAGAA
This 435-nucleotide ribosomal RNA is filed under the name Acanthamoeba sp. MN-ISP136-T4. RNAcentral's name for it is "SSU rRNA". It matches the Rfam family "Eukaryotic small subunit ribosomal RNA", at positions 766 to 1096 of the family's 1831-position model. The record is from RNAcentral. Lineage: Eukaryota; Discosea; Longamoebia; Acanthamoebidae.